RNAcentral lists this ribosomal RNA (463 nucleotides) under uncultured bacterium. RNAcentral's name for it is "partial 16S ribosomal RNA". It matches the Rfam family "Bacterial small subunit ribosomal RNA", at positions 28 to 507 of the family's 1533-position model. The record is from RNAcentral.
GAUGAACGCUGACAGAAUGCUUAACACAUGCAAGUCUUUGGUGAAGCUGUGCUUGCACAGCCUAGCCAAGGCGGACGGGUGAGUAACGCGUAAGGAACUUGCCCUGCAGUCAGGGAUAACAGACGGAAACGACUGAUAAGACCUGGUAAAGUCAGGCGGACUCAUGUCCAGCCUGAUGAAAAGAGAUGCUGCAGGAGAGCCUUGCGUCCUAUUAGCUUGUUGGUGGGGUAACGGCCCACCAAGGCAAUGAUAGGUAGCCGGCCUGAGAGGGUGGACGGCCACAAGGGGACUGAGAUACGGCCCUUACUCCUACGGGAGGCAGCAGUGGGGAAUAGUGGACAAUGGGGGCAACCCUGAUCCAGCAAUUCUGUGUGCACGAUGAAGGUUUUCGGAUUGUAAAGUGCUUUCAGCAGGGAAGAAAAAAAUGACGGUACCUGCAGAAGAAGCGACGGCUAAAUACGUG